This 118-nucleotide ribosomal RNA is filed under the name Pteropus alecto (black flying fox). Lineage: Eukaryota; Metazoa; Chordata; Mammalia; Chiroptera; Pteropodidae. The record is from RNAcentral.
GUCUAUGGCCAUGCCGCCUGAACAAGCCUGAUCUCUUCUGAUCUCAGAAGCUAAGCAGGGUCAGGCAUGGUUAGUACUUGGAUGGGAGACCGCCUAAGAAGAUCAAGUGCUGUAGGUG